RNAcentral lists this ribosomal RNA (484 nucleotides) under uncultured bacterium. Its description in RNAcentral is "partial 16S ribosomal RNA". It matches the Rfam family "Bacterial small subunit ribosomal RNA", at positions 30 to 507 of the family's 1533-position model. The record is from RNAcentral.
AUUGAACGCUGGCGGCAGGCCUAACACAUGCAAGUCGAGCGGAUGAAGGGAGCUUGCCUCUGGAUUCAGCGGCGGACGGGUGAGUAAUGCCUAUGAAUCUGCCUGGUAGUGGGGGAUAACGUCCGUAAACGGGCGCUAAUACCGCCUACGUCCUGAGGGAGAAAGUUGGGGAUCUUCGGACCUCACGCUAUCACAUGAGCCUAGGUCGGAUUAGCUAGUUGGUGGGGUCAAGGCCUACCAAGGCGACGAACCGUAACUGGACUGAGAGGAUGAUCAGUCACACUGGAAGUGAGACACGGUCCAGACUCCUACGGGAGGCAGCAGUGGGGCAUAUUGGGCAAUGGGCGAAAGCCUGAUCCAGCCGUGCCGCAUGUGUGAAGAACGUCUUCGGAUGGGAAAGCACUGUAAGUGGGGAGGAAGGGCAGUAAGUUAAUGACGUGCUGUUUUGACGUUAACAACAAGAUGAGCAACGGCUAACUUCGUG